ACAAAAAUAAAACAAAAAAAUCUAUAAUAUUGGAAAAAAUAACACUCUGGUCUUUAAAAGUUAUUACUUCUUUCUUAAAACAAAAUCUCAAAAUCUCUUGAAGGUUCUAAGAACCCUUGUGAUGAGAUGAACCAUCUCCAUCCAUUGUGAUAGUGGCUUUUUGAACAACGUUUAUUCACAAAAAUAAAACAAAAAAAUCUAUAAUAUUGGAAAAAAUAAUACUUCAGUCUUUAAAAGUUAUUACUUCUUUCUUAAAACAAAAGCCUCAAAUCUCUUGAAGGUUCUAAAAACCCUUGUGAUGAGAUGAACCAUCUCCAUCCAUUGUGACAGUGGCUGGAACCAUUGGAGAAAUCUGCACUAUAACGUUAGCUCACCUUAAAUUCCACAAUCUUCUUCUAUUGUGUCUACUCCGUUUUGUGUUGAACUUGAAUCUGGAACUUCUAGAUCUGCAACAACAUUCAUCAUUUGGCUCAAUUUACGGUCUUGCAAGUUGCGACUCUUCUAUCUUCAAGGUAAACCAGACAUGAUAAAGAAGGAUUGGGUGGAGUUGCCUCCACACAGUCAAGGUUUUAAGGAUGGUGUUAACUACUUUUUAGAUAUUGCAUUCACCAAAUGAAUUGUUGAAGGAGAUGAGAUUUUGUGCCCUUGUGCUACAUGUUGCAAUGAUAGUUGGGAAAAAAGAGAUGUAAUGUUUGAUCAUUUACGUGGCAGAGGAUUUGUAAAGGGAUACAACGAAUGGAUUCACCAUGGCGACGAUGGAAGUCUUAUGGAUAUUGAUAGUGAUACUGAUGAUGAAGUAUCAUCCGAUGAUAUUGAUGGCUUACUAUUUGAGACUUUUAAAGAUGUCGCUGAAGAAGAUGGGAUACAUGAUGGGAUAAAUGAAUGCAAAUAAAUUUUAUAAACUAGUUGAUGAUGCAAAUCAAGAGUUGUAUCCUGGUUGUAAAAAAAUUUCCACCUUAUCAUUCACUAUUCGAAUGUAUUUGCUGAAAUGUCUCUAUGGGUGGAGCAAAGCAUCAUUCACUGCUCUCUUGGAGUUAUUAAAGGAGGCUAUGCCAAAUUUGAACAUCCCUGUCUCUUUCAAUAAAACAAAAUCUAUGAUAAAAAGACUUAGACUUAGACUAUAAGAAGAUUGAUGCAUGCCCCAACAAUUGCAUGUUGUUUUGGAAACAGCAUGAAAAAGAUGAACAAUGUGAAUUUUGUGGAGCAUCAAGGUGGAUCGAAUAUCCUGAAGUUGGUUAUCAUCUUGAAGAAUCUAAAAAAGUGCAUAAGGUUCCCGCCAAAGUUCUAAGACAUUUUCCUUUGAUUCCAAGAUUGAAAAGACUGUUUAUGUAUUCAAAGACAGCUGACACAUUGAGGUGGCAUGCAGGAAGACGUUCAAGGGAAGGUAGAUUAAGGCAUCCAGCCGAUGGCCAAGCAUGGAAAGACUUUGAUGCCAAACAUCCAGAUUUUGCUCUUGAAACUCGUAAUAUUAGGAUUGGGUUAGCUAGUGACGAGUUUAAUCCAUUUCGGACUAUGAGUCUUUCACAUAACACGUGGCCUGUGGUGUUAACCAUAUACAACCUCGUUUAUUUAUUUUAAUUCACUUCCCCUGAACAGUUGGCCUUACUGAACGAUAUAUGACCCGUAAUAUUAGCUAAGGUUAGAACGAGGGUCAAUAUAUUUUUGUGUCUUUAAUCAUAAUAUUUGUGUAUUUUUUCGUUCUGUCAUUAGUAAAAUUGGAGAUUGUGUCUGCACAUUAUUUUAAUAUCUGAAAUAUUGGCAUAAUGAUUUUAUGAGCUUUAAAUGGUUAUAAAAA
Trifolium pratense (red clover) is the source of this 1795-nucleotide long non-coding RNA. RefSeq lists it as uncharacterized. The record is from RefSeq and is a predicted model, not a curated record. The transcript is spliced from 3 exons. NCBI's taxonomy places the organism in Eukaryota, Viridiplantae, Streptophyta, Magnoliopsida, Fabales, Fabaceae.